GAUGAACGCUGGCGGCGUGCCUAAUACAUGCAAGUCGAGCGAACAGACGAGGAGCUUGCUCCUCUGACGUUAGCGGCGGACGGGUGAGCAACACGUGGAUAACCUACCUAUAAGACUGGGAUAACUUCGGGAAACCGGAGCUAAUACCGGAUAAUAUAUUGAACCGCAUGGUUCAAUAGUGAAAGACGGUUUUGCUGUCACUUAUAGAUGGAUCCGCGCCGCAUUAGCUAGUUGGUAAGGUAACGGCUUACCAAGGCAAUGAUGCGUAGCCGACCUGAGAGGGUGAUCGGCCACACUGGAACUGAGACACGGUCCAGACUCCUACGGGAGGCAGCAGUAGGGAAUCUUCCGCAAUGGGCGAAAGCCUGACGGAGCAACGCCGCGUGAGUGAUGAAGGUCUUCGGAUCGUAAAACUCUGUUAUUAGGGAAGAACAAAUGUGUAAGUAACUAUGCACGUCUUGACGGUACCUAAUCAGAAAGCCACGGCUAACUACGUG
Molecule: ribosomal RNA, 497 nt
Filed under: uncultured bacterium
Lineage: Bacteria
Description: partial 16S ribosomal RNA
Rfam family: Bacterial small subunit ribosomal RNA
Source: RNAcentral